CCUACGGGGGACAGCAGGGAGGAAUAUUGGUCAAUGGCCGGAAGACUGAACCAGCCAAGCCGCGUGAAGGACGAAGGUGCAGAGCAUUGUAAACUUCUUUUGUCAAGGGACAAAAUCAGGCUCGAGAGCCUGACCGAGGGUACCUGAAGAAAAAGCAUCGGCUAACUCCGUGCCAGCAGCCGCGGUAAUACGGAGGAUGCGAGCGUUAUCCGGAUUUAUUGGGUUUAACGGGUGCGUAGGCGGGCUGUUAAGUCAGCGGUAAAAGCCCGGGGCUCAACCCCGGCGCGCCGUUGAAACUGGCUGUCUUGAGAUGUCGAGAGGUAUGCGGAAUGCGCAGUGUAGCGGUGAAAUGCUUAGAUAUCGCGCAGAACUCCGAUUGCGAAGGCAGCAUACCGGCGGCGCUCUGACGCUGAGGCACGAAAGCGUGGGUAUCGAACAGGAUUAGAUACCCUUGUAGUC
This 459-nucleotide ribosomal RNA is filed under the name uncultured bacterium. Its description in RNAcentral is "partial 16S ribosomal RNA". It matches the Rfam family "Bacterial small subunit ribosomal RNA", at positions 338 to 795 of the family's 1533-position model. The record is from RNAcentral.